AAAAAAGGUAAGCUACUAAGAGCGAAUGGUGGAUGCCUUGACUGGUAAAGGCGAUGAAGGACGUACUAGACUGCGAUAAGCUACGGGGAGCUGUCAAGAAGCUUUGAUCCGUAGAUUUCCGAAUGGGGCAACCCAAUGUAUAGAGAUAUACAUUACCUAUAUAGGAGCGAACGAGGGGAAUUGAAACAUCUUAGUACCCUCAGGAAAAGAAAUCAAUAGAGAUUGCGUCAGUAGCGGCGAGCGAAAGCGCAAGAGGGCAAACCCAGUGCUUGCACUGGGGGUUGUAGGACUGCAAUGUGCAAGAGCUGAGUUUAGCAGAACAUUCUGGAAAGUAUAGCCAUAGAGGGUGAUAGUCCCGUAUGCGAAAAACAAAGCUUAGCUAGCAGUAUCCUGAGUAGGGCGGGACACGAGGAAUCCUGUCUGAAUCCGGGUCGACCACGAUCCAACCCUAAAUACUAAUACCAGAUCGAUAGUGCACAAGUACCGUGAGGGAAAGGUGAAAAGAACUGAGGUGAUCAGAGUGAAAUAGAACCUGAAACCAUUUGCUUACAAUCAUUCAGAGCACUAUGUAGCAAUACAGUGUGAUGGACUGCCUUUUGCAUAAUGAGCCUGCGAGUUGUGGUGUCUGGCAAGGUUAAGCAAACGCGAAGCCGUAGCGAAAGCGAGUCUGAAUAGGGCGCUUAGUCAGAUGCUGCAGACCCGAAACGAAGUGAUCUAUCCAUGAGCAAGUUGAAGCUAGUGUAAGAACUAGUGGAGGACUGAACCCAUAGGCGUUGAAAAGCCCCGGGAUGACUUGUGGAUAGGGGUGAAAGGCCAAUCAAACUUCGUGAUAGCUGGUUCUCUCCGAAAUAUAUUUAGGUAUAGCGUUGUGUCGUAAUAUAAGGGGGUAGAGCACUGAAUGGGCUAGGGCAUACACCAAUGUACCAAACCCUAUCAAACUCCGAAUACCUUAUAUGUAAUCACAGCAGUCAGGCGGCGAGUGAUAAAAUCCGUCGUCAAGAGGGAAACAACCCAGACUACCAGCUAAGGUCCCUAAAUCUUACUUAAGUGGAAAACGAUGUGAAGUUACUUAAACAACCAGGAGGUUGGCUUAGAAGCAGCCAUCCUUUAAAGAAAGCGUAAUAGCUCACUGGUCUAGUGAUUUUGCGCGGAAAAUAUAACGGGGCUAAAGUAAGUACCGAAGCUGUAGACUUGCACACAACUUAGAUUAUUUAAGUUUAGAAUAAGUAGUUUAAGUUGUGUGCAAGUGGUAGGAGAGCGUUCUAUUUGCGUCGAAGGUAUACCGGUAAGGAGUGCUGGAGCGAAUAGAAGUGAGCAUGCAGGCAUGAGUAGCGAUAAUUAAUGUGAGAAUCAUUAACGCCGUAAACCCAAGGUUUCCUACGCGAUGCUCGUCAUCGUAGGGUUAGUCGGGUCCUAAGUCGAGUCCGAAAGGGGUAGACGAUGGCAAAUUGGUUAAUAU
This 1459-nucleotide ribosomal RNA is filed under the name Campylobacter jejuni. Its description in RNAcentral is "partial 23S ribosomal RNA". It matches the Rfam family "Bacterial large subunit ribosomal RNA", at positions 1 to 1436 of the family's 2925-position model. The record is from RNAcentral. Lineage: Bacteria; Pseudomonadati; Campylobacterota; Epsilonproteobacteria; Campylobacterales; Campylobacteraceae.